UAGGGAAUCUUCCGCAAUGGACGCAAGUCUGACGGAGCAACGCCGCGUGAGUGAAGAAGGAUUUCGGUUCGUAAAACUCUGUUGUUAGAGAAGAACAGCGCAUAGAGUAACUGUUAUGCGUGUGACGGUAUCUAACCAGAAAGCCACGGCUAACUACGUGCCAGCAGCCGCGGUAAUACGUAGGUGGCAAGCGUUGUCCGGAUUUAUUGGGCGUAAAGCGAGCGCAGGCGGUCAAUUAAGUCUGAUGUGAAAGCCCCCGGCUCAACCGGGGAGGUGCAUUGGAAACUGGUUGGCUUGAGUGCAGAAGGGGGGAGUGGGCUUCCAUGUGUAGCGGUGAAAGGCGUAGAUAUAUGGAGGAACACCAGUGGCGAAGGCGGCUCUCUGGUCUGUAACUGAAGCAGAGGCUCGAAAGCGUGGGUAGCAAACAGG
This 429-nucleotide ribosomal RNA is filed under the name Bacteroidota bacterium. Its description in RNAcentral is "Bacteroidetes bacterium partial 16S ribosomal RNA". It matches the Rfam family "Bacterial small subunit ribosomal RNA", at positions 355 to 776 of the family's 1533-position model. Lineage: Bacteria; Pseudomonadati; Bacteroidota. The record is from RNAcentral.